GAAGCAUAUAACUGAGUGAUGUGACACUUUGGGAUCCUCUUCUAACCAGUGAUACGGGACGGCAAUUAUCUGCUUAUUGACAGUGUGUGACAGUCUCACAGCUGUAUAUGUAAAGCUGAUGCCUGUAAAUAGUGUCUCCUGUAAAAUAGUAGAGGACAGAAGUGCAUUAACCCCUGAAAAUAACCAUGCCGGGAAAGCGAACUACUCAACCCAGUCUGACAUUGCUCUAAACCCCCACAUCACCUACUGUUGUCAAGGGAAGCUUGAGUCAGAUGUACAUGCUUAGUGAUGACCAUUCAAUAAAUUGCCAG
Hyla sarda is the source of this 311-nucleotide long non-coding RNA. RefSeq lists it as uncharacterized. The transcript is spliced from 3 exons. The record is from RefSeq and is a predicted model, not a curated record. NCBI's taxonomy places the organism in Eukaryota, Metazoa, Chordata, Amphibia, Anura, Hylidae.